Molecule: ribosomal RNA, 253 nt
Filed under: uncultured bacterium
Lineage: Bacteria
Description: partial 16S ribosomal RNA
Rfam family: Bacterial small subunit ribosomal RNA
Source: RNAcentral
UACGUAGGGUGCAAGCGUUGUCCGGAAUUAUUGGGCGUAAAGAGCUCGUAGGCGGUCUGUCGCGUCGGCUGUGAAAACUUGGGGCUCAACCCCAAGCCUGCAGUCGAUACGGGCAGACUAGAGUCCGGCAGGGGAGACUGGAAUUCUCGGUGUAGCGGUGAAAUGCGUAGAUAUCGAGAGGAACACCUGCGGCGAAGGCGGGUUGCUGGGCUGACACUGACGCUGAGGCGCGAAAGCGUGGGGAGCAAACAGG